Molecule: transfer RNA, 89 nt
Filed under: bacterium
Lineage: Bacteria
Also listed under: 2 other names
Description: tRNA-Leu
Rfam family: tRNA
About the family: Transfer RNA (tRNA) molecules are approximately 80 nucleotides in length. Their secondary structure includes four short double-helical elements and three loops (D, anti-codon, and T loops). Further hydrogen bonds mediate the characteristic L-shaped molecular structure. tRNAs have two regions of fundamental functional importance: the anti-codon, which is responsible for specific mRNA codon recognition, and the 3' end, to which the tRNAs corresponding amino acid is attached (by aminoacyl-tRNA synthetases). tRNAs cope with the degeneracy of the genetic code in two manners: having more than one tRNA (with a specific anti-codon) for a particular amino acid; and 'wobble' base-pairing, i.e. permitting non-standard base-pairing at the 3rd anti-codon position.
Source: RNAcentral
GCCGGAGUGGCGGAAUAGGAAGACGCGGCGGACUCAAAAUCCGUUCCCCGGAGACGGGGGUGGGGGUUCGAUUCCCUCCUUCGGCACCA